CCUACGGGGGGCAGCAGUGGGGAAUAUUGCGCAAUGGGGGAAACCCUGACGCAGCGACGCCGCGUGAGCGAUGAAGGCCUUAGGGUUGUAAAGCUCUGUUUUAGGGGACGAAUGUCAUGGUGAGUAAUAUGCGCUGUGAAUGACGGUACCCUAAGAGGAAGCCCCGGCUAACUACGUGCCAGCAGCCGCGGUAAGACGUAGGGGGCGAGCGUUGUCCGGAAUUACUGGGCGUAAAGAGCACGUAGGCGGGAAUUUAAGUCAGAUGUGAAAGACCGGGGCUCAACUCCGGGGUUGCAUUUGAAACUGGAUUUCUUGAGGGCAGGAGAGGAAAGCAGAAUUCCUGGUGUAGCGGUGAAAUGCGUAGAUAUCAGGAGGAAUACCAGUGGCGAAGGCGGCUUUCUGGACUGACCCUGACGCUGAGGUGCGAAAGCGUGGGUAGCAAACAGGCUUAGAUACCCGAGUAGUC
RNAcentral lists this ribosomal RNA (466 nucleotides) under uncultured Syntrophomonas sp. Its description in RNAcentral is "bacterial SSU rRNA". It matches the Rfam family "Bacterial small subunit ribosomal RNA", at positions 338 to 795 of the family's 1533-position model. Lineage: Bacteria; Bacillati; Bacillota; Clostridia; Eubacteriales; Syntrophomonadaceae. The record is from RNAcentral.